UACGGAGGGGGCUAGCGUUGUUCGGAAUUACUGGGCGUAAAGCGCACGUAGGCGGCUUUGUAAGUUAGAGGUGAAAGCCCAGGGCUUAACCCUGGAAUCGCCUUUAAGACUGCAUCGCUAGAAUCGUGGAGAGGUGAGUGGAAUUCCGAGUGUAGAGGUGAAAUUCGUAGAUAUUCGGAAGAACACCAGUGGCGAAGGCGGCCUUCUGGACAGUGACUGACGCUGAGACGCGAAAGCGUGGGGAGCAAACAGG
Molecule: ribosomal RNA, 253 nt
Filed under: uncultured bacterium
Lineage: Bacteria
Description: partial 16S ribosomal RNA
Rfam family: Bacterial small subunit ribosomal RNA
Source: RNAcentral